Molecule: ribosomal RNA, 495 nt
Filed under: uncultured bacterium
Lineage: Bacteria
Description: partial 16S ribosomal RNA
Rfam family: Bacterial small subunit ribosomal RNA
Source: RNAcentral
GACGAACGCUGGCGGCGUGCCUAAUACAUGCAAGUCGAACGCUGAAGGAGGAGCUUGCUUCUCCGGAUGAGUUGCGAACGGGUGAGUAACGCGUAGGUAACCUGCCUGGUAGCGGGGGAUAACUAUUGGAAACGAUAGCUAAUACCGCAUAACAGUAGAUAUUGCAUGAUAUCUGCUUGAAAGGUGCAAUUGCAUCACUACCAGAUGGACCUGCGUUGUAUUAGCUAGUUGGUGAGGUAACGGCUCACCAAGGCGACGAUACAUAGCCGACCUGAGAGGGGGAUCGGCCACACUGGGACUGAGACACGGCCCAGACGCCUACGGGAGGCAGCAGUAGGGAAUCUUCGGCAAUGGACGGAAGUCUGACCGAGCAACGCCGCGUGAGUGAAGAAGGGUGUCGGAUCGUAAAGCUCGGUUGUAAGAGAAGAACGAGUGUGAGAGUGGAAAGUUCACACUGUGACGGUAUCUUACCAGAAAGGGACGGCUAACUACGUG